GAACAAGCUUUUCCAACCACAGUCUAGCAAGAUGAUCUCUCACACUCCCCUUCUCUGGCUCCUGGUUCUCUGGAUUCAGGACUCCUCCGGGCAAAUUGUGAUGACUCAGUCCCCGGAAUCUCUGGCAGUGCCGGUGGGAGGGAGAGUCUCCAUCAACUGCAAAGCCAGUACGAGCAUUAGCAAUUACUUACACUGGUACCAACAGAAACCUGGACAAGCGCCCAAACUUCUUAUCAGCUACGCUAGCACCCUCCAGUCGGGGGUCCCAGCCCGGUUCAGCGGCAGUGGGUCUGGCACGGAUUUCACAUUCACAAUCAGCAGCGUAGAAGCUGAAGAUGCUGGAGAUUAUUACUGCCAGCAGAGUAGCAGCUGGCCUCUCACAGUGAUACAGACCAAUACAAAAACCUCCCUGCUCUCUGCAGCAUGCAAUGCAGUUACCAUUUGCUGCAGAUAUAACUCUGAGGUUUUCAAAUGUUCUGUCAAACGUGAAGGAAGAGGGUAA
This is a non-coding RNA of Caretta caretta (loggerhead turtle), 502 nucleotides long. Lineage: Eukaryota; Metazoa; Chordata; Testudines; Cheloniidae. The record is from the annotation of a RefSeq genome assembly.